Long non-coding RNA from Cucurbita maxima (winter squash), 743 nucleotides. RefSeq lists it as uncharacterized. The transcript is spliced from 2 exons. The record is from RefSeq and is a predicted model, not a curated record. Lineage: Eukaryota; Viridiplantae; Streptophyta; Magnoliopsida; Cucurbitales; Cucurbitaceae.
GGAAAUUGGUAGUGUGGCAGUAAACAAUGUCUAGUCCUAAAAAAACAGGCAUGUCAGGAGGGGUGAAAGAUGCAACAGUACAUUUUACAGUCUGCACCUUUCCUGACUCUUCUUUUAAAGACGCUGGGUCCUACACAGUCUGUAUCUUUCCCCUUUCUUUCUUUUUAUGAUGCUGGGUCCUUGCAAUUCUAUGAAAACAGCAAAGAUGCCCCCAAGGAAUGAAAAAAUUUCUGUGCCAUGUCAAUAUCAAUGACACCAAAUUGUGGUGAGCUGAGUUUAUACACCAUUCUGGUCCUCUUGUCUGAAUCUGAAAAUUGGCCACAGAAUACAAUGGGUUAGAGAUGGAGAGAGAGAGAUAAAGGAAGAUCCAAUUGGUAAAAUUCAUGGACCGCCAGAGAUGUAUUGAGGCCACAACCAAGAGCAAGUUAAUCUGACCAAUUCUCAAAUCCCUAGAGAAUUCUGUUCCUCCAGGUCUCCCCAACUGUAAUCCAUUGCGGUGGGAAAGGGAAGGGGAAUGCAACAGUGAGUGAUGGUGUAGGAAAUGGAAAACAAAAACAAAAAAAAAAUAGUGUGUCGGAUGGAAAAGAGGGGAAUCAGACAGUGGGAGUAGAAGACAGGCUGUGAAUGUCAUUUUUCUGAUACCUUAAAAACACAAAAUGUUUUGAAAGGGGAUUGGACAGAGUACUGCGCAUUGGAUGGCAGAAAGUGAGGCCUCACAGUUAUUGGAAAUUAAUUGUUUGUCU